AUGGCGACUUGCAUUCGUAAGGUGGCCUCGGAGGAGCUUGGAGUGUCCAGGGGAAGGAGAAGCGAAGAUAAGGAUACCUGGUGGUGGAAUGAUGAUGUCCAGAAGGCGAUUAAAGAGAAGAAAGAUUGCUUCAAAUGCCUAUACCUGGAUAGGAGUGCAGACAACAUAGAGAAGUACAAGAUGGCGAAGAAGACCGCAAAGCGAGCUGUUGGUGAAGCAAGGGGUCGGGUAUAUGAGGACCUCUACCAACGGUUAGGCACGAAGGAAGGUGAAAGGGACAUCUAUAAGAUGGCCAAGAUCCGAGAGAGGAAGACGAGGGAUAUUGGCCAAGUCAAAUGCAUCAAGGACGGAGCAGGCCAACUCUUGGUGAAGGACGAGGAGAUUAAGCAUAGAUGGCGGGAGUACUUCGACAAGCUAUUCAAUGGGGAGAAUGAGAGUUCUACCAUUGAACUGGACGACUCCUUUGAUGAGACCAGCAUGCGUUUUGUGCGGCGAAUCCAGGUGUCUGAGGUCAAGGAGGCUUUAAAAAGGAUGAAAGGAGGCAAGGCAAUGGGCCCUGAUUGUAUCCCCAUUGAGGUGUGGAAAGGUCUCGGGGACAUAGCGAUAGUAUGGCUAACCAAGCUUUUCAACCUCAUUUUUCGGGCAAACAAGAUACCAGAAGAAUGGAGACGGAGUAUAUUAGUACCAAUCUUCAAGAACAAGGGGGAUGUUCAGAGUUGUACUAAUUACCGUGGAAUUAAGCUGAUGAGCCAUACAAUGAAGCUAUGGGAGAGAGUCAUUGAGCACCGCUUAAGAAGAAUGACAAGCGUGACCAAAAAUCAGUUUGGUUUCAUGCUUGGGAGGUCGACCAUGGAAGCCAUUUUCUUGGUACGACAACUUAUGGAGAGAUAUAGGGAGCAAAAGAAGGACUUGCAUAUGGUGUUCAUUGACUUGGAGAAGGCCUAUGAUAAGAUACCGCGGAAUGUCAUGUGGUGGGCCUUGGAGAAACACAAAGUCCCAGCAAAGUACAUUACCCUCAUCAAGGACAUGUACGAUAAUGUUGUGACAAGUGUUCGAACAAGUGAUGUCGACACUGAUGACUUCCCGAUUAAGAUAGGACUGCAUCAGGGAUCAGCUUUGAGCCCUUAUCUUUUUGCAUUGGUGAUGGAUGAGGUCACAAGGGAUAUACAAGGAGAUAUCCCAUGGUGUAUGCUCUUUGUGGAUGAUGUGGUGCUAGUUGACGAUAGUCGGACGGGGGUAAAUAGGAAGUUAGAGUUAUGGAGUCAAACCUUGGAAUCGAAAGGGUUUAGGCUUAGUAGAACUAAAACCGAGUACAUGAUGUGCGGUUUCAGUACUACUAGGUGUGAGGAGGAGGUUAGCCUUGAUGGCCAGGUGGUACCUCAGAAGGACACCUUUCGGUAUUUGGGGUCAAUGCUGCAGGAGGAUGGGGGUAUUGAUGAAGAUGUGAACCAUCGAAUCAAAGCCGGAUGGAUGAAGUGGCGCCAAAUUUCUGGCAUUCUCUGUGACAAGAGAGUGCCACAAAAGCUAAAAGGCAAGUUCUACAGGACGGCGGUUCGACCCGCAAUGUUGUAUGGCGCUGAGUGUUGGCCGACUAAAAGGCGACAUGUUCAACAGUUAGGUGUGGCGAAGAUGCGUAUGUUGAGAUGGAUGUGUGGCUACACAAGGAAGGAUCGAGUC
This 1677-nucleotide ribosomal RNA is filed under the name Triticum aestivum (bread wheat). RNAcentral's name for it is "partial small subunit ribosomal RNA". The record is from RNAcentral. Lineage: Eukaryota; Viridiplantae; Streptophyta; Magnoliopsida; Poales; Poaceae.